Molecule: ribosomal RNA, 246 nt
Filed under: uncultured bacterium
Lineage: Bacteria
Description: partial 16S ribosomal RNA
Rfam family: Bacterial small subunit ribosomal RNA
Source: RNAcentral
GAUCCUGGCUCAGGACGAACGCUGGCGGCGUGCUUAACACAUGCAAGUCGAACGAGAAUCACUGGAAGGAGUUUUCGGACAACGGAAGGUGAGGACAGUGGCGGACGGGUGAGUAACGCGUGAGGAACCCGCCUUUCAGAGGGGGACAACAGUUGGAAACGACUGCUAAUACCGCAUGACACAUAGGGAUCGCAUGGUUUUUAUGUCAAAGAUUUAUCGCUGAAAGAUGGCCUCGCGUCUGAUUAG